RNAcentral lists this ribosomal RNA (503 nucleotides) under uncultured bacterium. RNAcentral describes it as "partial 16S ribosomal RNA". It matches the Rfam family "Bacterial small subunit ribosomal RNA", at positions 30 to 523 of the family's 1533-position model. The record is from RNAcentral.
AUUGAACGCUGGCGGCAGGCUUAACACAUGCAAGUCGAGCGGGGUGAUGGUGCUUGCACUAUCACUUAGCGGCGGACGGGUGAGUAAUGCUUAGGAAUCUGCCUAUUAGUGGGGGACGACAUCUCGAAAGGGAUGCUAAUACCGCAUACGUCCUACGGGAGAAAGCAGGGGAUCACUUGUGACCUUGCGCUAAUAGAUGAGCCUAAGUCGGAUUAGCUAGUUGGUGGGGUAAAGGACUACCAAGGCGACGAUCUGUAGCGGGUCUGAGAGGAUGGGCAGCCACACUGGGAGUGAGACACGGCCCAGACUCGUACGGGAGGCAGCAGUGGGGAAUAUUGGACAAUGGGGGGAACCCUGAUCCAGCCAUGCCGCGUGUGUGAAGAAGGCCUUAUGGUUGUAAAGCACUUUAAGCGAGGAGGAGGCUCUUUUGGUUAAUACCCAAGAUGAGUGGACGUUACUCGCAGAAUAAGCACCGGCUAACUCUGUGCCAGCCGCCGCGGUAA